AUAUGACUGUGGCAUUACAGAUGUUUCUUCUUUAACUCAGUCUUUGACUAACUCAAAAGCACUGCAGUUUUUAAAAGAGCUUGAUCUGAGUUUCAAUAAGAUAGGAGACUCAAAGCAGCGGCUCAGAGACGAGCUACGAGACUCAAACUGUGUCCUGAGAGUAGAUGAAGAUUGAUGACCAAACGUCAGUGGAUUUACAUCAAGGUUUAAAUCUGUGAAACGGAGAUGAGAGGAGCAGAAACCAUCAGGCGAUCCACAGAAGAGUCUCACUGCUGUCUAUGAGGAGAAAUACAUGUGUAAAUGUGUUUCAUACAGGUGGAAGAGACUCAGACUUCACUAUUAAAUAAAGCAGCGUGUGUGUUAGCAUGCGUAUUAGAAACAUGUGAUAUUGAAUGAUUAAUGUUGGUUUAUUAUUCAGCCAAAUGAUGGUUUAGUUGUAAUUAAAGGUGGAACAGAGGAAGAAGCUCA
Rhinichthys klamathensis goyatoka is the source of this 468-nucleotide long non-coding RNA. RefSeq lists it as uncharacterized. Lineage: Eukaryota; Metazoa; Chordata; Actinopteri; Cypriniformes; Leuciscidae. The record is from RefSeq and is a predicted model, not a curated record. The transcript is spliced from 2 exons.